Molecule: ribosomal RNA, 459 nt
Filed under: uncultured bacterium
Lineage: Bacteria
Description: bacterial SSU rRNA
Rfam family: Bacterial small subunit ribosomal RNA
Source: RNAcentral
UACGGGAGCAGCAGUGGGAAUAUUGCACAAUGGGCGCAAGCCUGAUGCAGCCAUGCCGCGUGUAUGAAGAAGGCCUUCGGGUUGUAAAGUACUUUCAGCAGUGAGGAAGGUGGAGUCGUUAAUAGCGGCCUCAUUUGACGUUAGCUGCAGAAGAAGCACCGGCUAACUCCGUGCCAGCAGCCGCGGUAAUACGGAGGGUGCGAGCGUUAAUCGGAAUUACUGGGCGUAAAGCGCAUGCAGGUGGUUUGUUAAGUCAGAUGUGAAAGCCCCGGGGCUCAACCUCGGAAUUGCAUUUGAAACUGGCAGACUAGAGUACUGUAGAGGGGGUAGAAUUUCAGGUGUAGCGGUGAAAUGCGUAGAGAUCUGAAGGAAUACCGGUGGCGAAGGCGGCCCCCUGGACAGAUACUGACACUCAGAUGCGAAAGCGUGGGGAGCAAACAGGAUUAGAUACCCUGGUAG